AUGCAGAUGGCAGAUUGCUACACGUCUUCUCCGGCACCAGCAACCUCGCCACCGUCCUCGGCGCCUUUGUCAGCGACACGUCGCGGCAUUGCCAGCUUCUUCAACUGGUACUACUUCACUUUCACCAUAGCCAUCAUGCUCUCUGCCACCGUCAUCAUCUACCUCCAGAGCAACGUCAACUGGGCGCUGGGGCUCGCCGUUCCCGCUGUGCUCAUGGGCAUCUCAUGUGUCGUCUUCUUCAUGGGCACCCGCCUCUACGUUCGUGUCCGCCCUGAGGGCAGCCCCUUGACUAGCUUUGCACAGGUCCUCGUCGCCGCCGCCCGCAAGCGCCACCUCCGGCGAGCUCGUAGCGUCGCCGAGCUGUUCGACCCACCGCACCGGAGCAAGCUUGUCUCCAAGCUGGCCUACACCGACCAGUUCACAUGCCUCGACAAGGCGGCCAUGCGGACCCCUGAGGACGCGCUCUGCUCUGACGAGAAGACGCCAGUGAACCAAUGGAGGUUGUGCACGAUACAACAGGUGGAGGAGGUGAAGUGCUUAGCGCGCAUCAUCCUGGUGUGGUCGUCGGGCAUCGUCUACUUCGUGGUGCUCACCCAGCUUGGCACCUACGUCGUGCUCCAAGCAGCACAAACCGAUCGCCGGAUCAGCAGCGCCAGCAGCUUCGAGAUCCCGCAAGGCUCCUUCAUCGUCUUCUCCAUGCUCUCCCUCACGCUGUGGAUACCAGUGUACGACCGGCUGGUGGUGCCGGCGCUCCGCCGCUUCACCCAGCACGAGGGCGGCAUCACCCUGCUCCAGCGCAUCGGCGUCGGGCUGGCGCUCUCCGUCGCGACGAUGCUGGUGUCGGCGGCCGUGGAGCACCGACGACGGCGCUGGACCGCCAUGACGUCGUGCUUCUGGCUGGUGCCGCAGCUGCUGCUGGCGGGCUUGUCGGAGGCGUUCGGCGGCAUCGGGCAGCUCGAGUUCUUCUACCGGCAGUUCCCGGAGAACAUGCGGAGCGUGGCGGGGGCGCUCUACUGCCUCGGGUUCGCCCUCGCGAGCUACGCGAGCGGGGUCAUGGUGACGGUGGUGCACGGGCGACGAGGGGGCGGGACGGGGAGCCCGACUGGCUGGCGCAGGACCUGGACCAGGGGAGGGUCGACCUGUUCUACCUUGUCACCGCUGCUAUCGCGGCCGUCAACCUCGUAUACUUCGUUGUCUGCGCGCGGUGGUACAGGUCCAAGGAGUCCGACGACAACGACGACGACAGCGACGGCUCCCAUGCCGGCGAUGACGUCGAGCUCGUCGAAGGAAGACCGCAGAAGUCCGCGAGUUCGGCGUCGGUUUAGCUUAGUUAUUAUAGGCCGUGAUGCAUGGAUUGGUAGAUUAUGA
RNAcentral lists this ribosomal RNA (1368 nucleotides) under Triticum aestivum (bread wheat). Its description in RNAcentral is "partial small subunit ribosomal RNA". The record is from RNAcentral. Lineage: Eukaryota; Viridiplantae; Streptophyta; Magnoliopsida; Poales; Poaceae.